AGCUCAGUUUCUCACUCCGAAGUGGCAGAAGCCAGAGAGGGAGUCGGUGUGGACGCGAGGAGCCGGGCGCUUAGAACAGAGGCUUGCACAGGUGGAGAUGUGGAAGUCUGUAGUGGGCCAUGAUGUGUCUGUUUCCGUGGAGACCCAGGGUGAUGAUUGGGACACAGAUCCUGACUUUGUGAAUGACAUCUCUGAAAAGGAGCAACGAUGGGGAGCCAAGACCAUCGAGGGGUCUGGACGCACAGAACACAUCAAAAACAGUUCAGCUUGUGGACCACACACUGAGUGGCACUGCUCUGGAAUAAUCUUUCAGCACUUCCUGGAACCUGUCUGGCCUUUAGAUUAAAUCUUUACUGAGCUAUAAUCGUAGGAUGUCUGCCUCAGUGGCCCUGUCCUCUUCUUGUGCCCUGACAUUUUAUAGCAAGUGGAAAUAAAGAAUGGUGUAAUGCCAAGAGUAUAGAAAUAGAAUUCUGGAGCUCUAGGGACUGAUUCCAGCUCUGCUGUAAAAAGGCUUAUGAUGCUGAGGAGAGUAAUAAUAUUUUAACAUCCUAUCUUGAUUUCCAGCACUGACUGGAGAUUAUAGU
RNAcentral lists this small RNA (584 nucleotides) under Pan troglodytes (chimpanzee). Its description in RNAcentral is "processed transcript". The record is from RNAcentral. Lineage: Eukaryota; Metazoa; Chordata; Mammalia; Primates; Hominidae.